Molecule: ribosomal RNA, 854 nt
Filed under: Staphylococcus aureus ZTA10/00045-9HST
Lineage: Bacteria; Bacillati; Bacillota; Bacilli; Caryophanales; Staphylococcaceae
Description: bacterial SSU rRNA
Rfam family: Bacterial small subunit ribosomal RNA
Source: RNAcentral
AGAGUUUGAUCCUGGCUCAGGAUGAACGCUGGCGGCGUGCCUAAUACAUGCAAGUCGAGCGAACGGACGAGAAGCUUGCUUCUCUGAUGUUAGCGGCGGACGGGUGAGUAACACGUGGAUAACCUACCUAUAAGACUGGGAUAACUUCGGGAAACCGGAGCUAAUACCGGAUAAUAUUUUGAACCGCAUGGUUCAAAAGUGAAAGACGGUCUUGCUGUCACUUAUAGAUGGAUCCGCGCUGCAUUAGCUAGUUGGUAAGGUAACGGCUUACCAAGGCAACGAUGCAUAGCCGACCUGAGAGGGUGAUCGGCCACACUGGAACUGAGACACGGUCCAGACUCCUACGGGAGGCAGCAGUAGGGAAUCUUCCGCAAUGGGCGAAAGCCUGACGGAGCAACGCCGCGUGAGUGAUGAAGGUCUUCGGAUCGUAAAACUCUGUUAUUAGGGAAGAACAUAUGUGUAAGUAACUGUGCACAUCUUGACGGUACCUAAUCAGAAAGCCACGGCUAACUACGUGCCAGCAGCCGCGGUAAUACGUAGGUGGCAAGCGUUAUCCGGAAUUAUUGGGCGUAAAGCGCGCGUAGGCGGUUUUUUAAGUCUGAUGUGAAAGCCCACGGCUCAACCGUGGAGGGUCAUUGGAAACUGGAAAACUUGAGUGCAGAAGAGGAAAGUGGAAUUCCAUGUGUAGCGGUGAAAUGCGCAGAGAUAUGGAGGAACACCAGUGGCGAAGGCGACUUUCUGGUCUGUAACUGACGCUGAUGUGCGAAAGCGUGGGGAUCAAACAGGAUUAGAUACCCUGGUAGUCCACGCCGUAAACGAUGAGUGCUAAGUGUUAGGGGGUUUCCGCCCCUUAG